UACAGAGACCUCAAGCGUUAUCCGGAUUUAUUGGGCGUAAAGGGUACCGCAGGCGGUUUAUUAAGUCAAUAGUUAAAUCCGAUGGCUCAACUGUCGGGCUGCUAUUGAAACUGAUAAACUAGAGACUGGGAGAGGCAAACGGAACUGCUGGUGUAGGGGUAAAAUCCGUUAAUAUCAGCAGGAACACCAAAUGCAAAGGCAGUUUGCUAGAACAGUUCUGACGCUCAGGGACGAAAGCGUGGGUA
RNAcentral lists this ribosomal RNA (245 nucleotides) under uncultured bacterium. Its description in RNAcentral is "partial 16S ribosomal RNA". It matches the Rfam family "Bacterial small subunit ribosomal RNA", at positions 524 to 767 of the family's 1533-position model. The record is from RNAcentral.